This 237-nucleotide ribosomal RNA is filed under the name uncultured bacterium. Its description in RNAcentral is "partial 16S ribosomal RNA". It matches the Rfam family "Bacterial small subunit ribosomal RNA", at positions 103 to 334 of the family's 1533-position model. The record is from RNAcentral.
CGGGUAGCGUAACACGUGAGCAACCUGCCUUUGGUGGUGGGGGAGUAGCCGGGCUAACGCCCCGGGGUAAUACCGCAUACGGUCAUCGAGAGGAGUCUCUUGGUGAAGAAACCUCCGGGGCACAGAGAGGGGCUCGCGGCCUAUCAGCUAGUUGGGGGGGUAAUGGCCCACCAAGGCGACGACGGGUAGCUGGUCUGAGAGGAUGGCCAGCCACAUUGGGACUGAGAGACGGCCCAG